AUUGAACGCUGGCGGCAGGCCUAACACAUGCAAGUCGAACGGUAACAGGAAGCAGCUUGCUGCUUCGCUGACGAGUGGCGGACGGGUGAGUAAUGUCUGGGAAACUGCCUGAUGGAGGGGGAUAACUACUGGAAACGGUAGCUAAUACCGCAUAACGUCGCAAGACCAAAGAGGGGGACCUUAGGGCCUCUUGCCAUCGGAUGUGCCCAGAUGGGAUUAGCUAGUAGGUGGGGUAACGGCUCACCUAGGCGACGAUCCCUAGCUGGUCUGAGAGGAUGACCAGCCACACUGGAACUGAGACACGGUCCAGACUCCUACGGGAGGCAGCAGUGGGGAAUAUUGCACAAUGGGCGCAAGCCUGAUGCAGCCAUGCCGCGUGUAUGAAGAAGGCCUUCGGGUUGUAAAGUACUUUCAGCGGGGAGGAAGGGAGUAAAGUUAAUACCUUUGCUCAUUGACGUUACCCGCGGAAGAAGCACCGGCUAACUCCGUG
Molecule: ribosomal RNA, 490 nt
Filed under: uncultured bacterium
Lineage: Bacteria
Description: partial 16S ribosomal RNA
Rfam family: Bacterial small subunit ribosomal RNA
Source: RNAcentral